RNAcentral lists this ribosomal RNA (453 nucleotides) under uncultured bacterium. Its description in RNAcentral is "partial 16S ribosomal RNA". It matches the Rfam family "Bacterial small subunit ribosomal RNA", at positions 28 to 507 of the family's 1533-position model. The record is from RNAcentral.
GAUGAACGCUGACAGAAUGCUUAACACAUGCAAGUCAACUUGAACUUCGGUUUGGGUGGCGGACGGGUGAGUAACGCGUAAAGAACUUGCCUCACAGAUAGGGACAACAUUUGGAAACGAAUGCUAAUACCUGAUAUUAUGAUUAUAUGGCAUCGUAUAAUUAUGAAAGCUAUAUGUGCUGUGAGAGAGCUUUGCGUCCCAUUAGCUAGUUGGAGAGGUAACGGCUCACCAAGGCGAUGAUGGGUAGCCGGCCUGAGAGGGUGAUCGGCCACAAGGGGACUGAGACACGGCCCUUACUCCUACGGGAGGCAGCAGUGGGGAAUAUUGGACAAUGGACCAAGAGUCUGAUCCAGCAAUUCUGUGUGCACGAUGAAGUUUUUCGGAAUGUAAAGUGCUUUCAGUUGGGAAGAAAAAAUGACGGUACCAACAGAAGAAGUGACGGCUAAAUACGUG